This 3428-nucleotide long non-coding RNA is filed under the name Sus scrofa (pig). Its description in RNAcentral is "lncRNA (ENSSSCG00000047438.1)". Lineage: Eukaryota; Metazoa; Chordata; Mammalia; Artiodactyla; Suidae. The record is from RNAcentral.
AUAUUGUCCUCAAACAUUGUCAGAUUGUGCUCACGGAGUCACAGACGGCUAGCCUGCCCCUCGGAGUUUCCACUGUGAUGGACAAACUAGCAAUCCCAGAUGUCCACCAAUAAACCCGUGAAGGCAGCUCAGCUGGAUGCAGGGAGCACAAGUCUGCGGUCAAGGCUACCCCUCACUGCUCCUGAGCCUCAGGCCACCAGUUAUCAGCACCUUGCCCUCCAUGCAGCUGCCCUAGAGCACGUGCAUGGCUGUCAUGGCUAGAUUUGUAAACAUCCGAGCCCUCGGUGGAUGAACUGAGACUGUCUCCUGCAUCCUAGCACAUCUAUCCCCUUCUGCUAGUGCAGUGCCUGGCUCAGGGUGGAGUCAGCGUUUGCUGAAUUCAUUACUGAAUUAUCUGGAGUGCUCCAGAGAAUGUUUUCUCUCUGGUCCUCCACUGCUCCAUCUAUGUGGGAGAUGAGGCUCGGUUAUCUCUAGAUGUCCCUGACCUUGCCACCCUGCAUCCCUAGUGCUCUGUAUUCUUGCAGCGCUUUAUCCCCCCUUCACUUCCUGCAAGUCGACUAGCUGCCAGGACCAGUAACCGAAGCCAGAGGGCUGACCUGAACUGCCAAGGGAGCCGCUGGCCUCCAGCCUAGUCCACCCCUACACUCCCGUGAGAGCUCACCCUGCCAUGGUAAUCUGCCCACGUUCCUCCUCUGGCAAAACCUUCCAAAUACCAGCCUCUGUUGGUCAACUGCCAAACACCUGAAGCUGGCAGAGAAGGCCCCUCCUGCUCUGGUCCCUCCCCACCUGGAGUCUUCUCCCCUGGUGACUCUUCUCAUACGGCAAGCUCACCACCCUGAGGCCAUCCUGAAUCACUCAGUCUCUGGGACGUCCCUGUGGCCCUUCAUCUGACAUCAAAUUGGCAUAUUUACAGAGUCGUCAUAAGACGUCAACAACACAAGAUGUAGGAAUAUAAUCAAUUCUAAAUGAUCUAUCUACAUAUUUAAUUAUCUACUCACAUUACACACGUAAGGUUGGUGGAUUCUGAGCGUAUCGGUCUGCUGGGGCUGCUCUAACGAAAUAUCAUGAAUGGGAGUCUUAAACGAUAGACAUUUAUUUCUCAUGGUUUGGAGGCUAGGAAGUUCAAGUUUAAGGUGCUGCCAAUUAGAUUCCUGUGAGGGCCUUCUUCCUGGCCUGCAGAUGGCUGUGUUUUGUGUGUCCUCACAGGACAGAGACAGAGAUAUCUUUGCUCUCUCCUUGUAAGGACACUAUCGCAGAGUUCCCUGGUGGUUCUGUGGGUUAAGGGUCUGGUGUUGUCACUGCUGUGGCUCAGGUUCACUCCCUGGCCUGGGAACCUCCUUCUGCCAAAAUAAAUAAAUGAAUUUAAUUGAAUUAAAAACAAAACAAAUAAUUUUUAAAAAGAGACGCUAUCCGAUCCUGAGGACUCCAUCCUCAUGACUUCAUCUAAAAGUAGUCACCUCCCACAGGCCCUAUCUUCAAAUGCCAUCCUGCUGGGGGGCGGUGUGGGAUGGUGACAGUUUCAGUCCAUGAGUUUGGGGAGCCAUAGUUCAGCCCACAGCUCUGAGCAGAGAAGGUAAUGGUUUAUAAUGACCGUCUGGCUAUUUGUCCAGCAUUCUGCUCCAGUACAAGCACCUAGGGUCGCAGGACUGUAACAGCAGAAGGUGUCCUGCACAUACAGAUCUGUUUCUUGUCUGGGUGGACGUGAGGGAAAUGGAAAGGUGAAGAGAGUUGAGAAAUGAGGGGGAGAGACAGGCAGAAGCCAGUUCAUGAAGGGGUCCUGCCUUCACAAAAAUAGUAUGGAUUUUAUCUCCUGAAUGAAAAGAUAGAUUCAAUGAUACAGUCACAUGGUUGGCUGUGAGCUUUAAGAAUUAUAAAAAUGUUCACCCUUCCGAUCCCACACUGAGGAAUUUUCCUGAGAAAAUAAUCUGGAAGAUUAAGAGAGGUAUGUACACAAAGAUAUUUACUACAUUAUUUACAAUAAUAAAAUUGGGAGAAACCCACAAAGGACUACUUAGGGAGUUACUCAGUGAACCAACAAAUACUUCCUGAAUAUAAAGUGACAAUUAAAACAGGGAAGUCCAGAUUAAGAGAAUGGAAAAAUCUGUGAAGUAGGUCAAAUAAACAAAAUGUAAAAUUAUAACUGCAUAAUGGUACAACUCCAUAAAAUAGGGACAAAAGGUGGACAAAACUAGCAGUAAAUCCAGAUAAAGAUGACAACAGACUACCUGUUAGGUUUGGUGCCAUUAUGUGCCACCGACGAAUCAUGUCUACAGAAGCUGCUGCCAUUUUUGCAAAAAAUAACAAAAACCCCCCACGACCCGUCUUGUAGAAGGGAAUCUGCUCCGCUUGUCUGCAGUCUCAGCCUCACAGAGCAGCCUUUGUUUGUGGCCAGCCUGAACAGACACUUGGCUUUCAGUGACACAAGUGAAUUGAUGAAAUAUUUGGGGUCAAUACAGUGGAAAGAAGGAUGCGUUUUAUAAUGAAGCACAGAACAAUGCGGUAGCCGGGGGAAGCAGGGUGAAGGAGGAAGAGGAUCUGACCUGCUAAAUGAACUACACGCUUCAGGCCAAAGCAUCCAUUAGGUGCCAUGUUGAGGAUGAGAAAUAGGGCUCUUGUGUAUAAAUAAGCCAAGGGGACCCUGAACAGCAUGACGACGGCGGAGCAGAACGUGGGCUCACCCUCCCUGCGAACAAGUCCCGGAAAGAAAGAGCUGGAUACGGCCACAGUGAAGACAUUACUGGGUUUUGCCGUGAUAGAUGAUGGGUAAGAUGCUUCCCCAAACUGGAGUUGUAGAAUUUCAGAGCAAGAAGAGGGGUUGGGUGAUUCAGCCAAGGUCACACAGCUGAUACAUAUAGCACUGAAGUAGAAACACUUAUAGGGACCGAGUUUUAACUCCAGAACAAUCACUUUCUUGCUAUGUCUCAAUCUUAUGCUCCCUUGAAACCCCCACUCCACCACAGCGUGCCAAGGGCUGUCAAUCCUCCCCCUACUACCAGGGAAGGGUCUUCGUUGCCAGCUGGCCAGCAAGUGGUCCAUCCCUAAAAUCCCAUUUGAUUAUUUAAUUUAAUUGAUUAAUUUAUUGGCCAUGCCCAUGGCAUGUGGAAGUUGCCAGGCCAGGGAUGGAACCCACACCACAGCAGUGACCCAAGCUGCUGCAGAGACAAUGCUGAUGCUGUAUCUUUUUUUUCUUUUUUUUUUUUUUGCGUUUUAGCACCUCCCUGGCAGCAUAUGGAGGUUCUCAGGCUAGGGGUCGAAUCAGAGCUACAGCUGCCAGCCCAUAUCACAGCCACAGCAAUGCCAGAUCCAAGCCACGUCUGCGACCUACACCACAGCUUACGGCAAUGCCAGAUCGCCAACCCAAUGAGCGAGGCCAUGGAUCGAACCCGCAACCUCACAGUUCCUAGUCAGAUUCUUGACUGACAAUGUCG